This is a long non-coding RNA of Piliocolobus tephrosceles (Ugandan red Colobus), 2734 nucleotides long. The record is from Ensembl. NCBI's taxonomy places the organism in Eukaryota, Metazoa, Chordata, Mammalia, Primates, Cercopithecidae.
UUUAAUAAUAAUAUGAAAAAUGAUAAAACAGAUAUAAGUGAGGGAACAACAACUUGUAGUAUUGUGAAUGAUGGUAGUAGUAGUACUUAUACAUCCCAAUCGAGUCUUAAUAGUAACAUUAACAUUAGUAUGGAUAGCAAUAUCAAGAGUAAUGACAAUAGAUGUAGUGAUAACAUCGGCACGAAUAACGAUAAAGAGUUAAAAAAUAAAAGUUGUGUUGAUGAUGGUGUUUGUCACGAUAGUAACAUUUUACAACAUAAUAAUGCAUUACAGUAUAAAGAAGAUAAAUCGAAUGAGUGUUUAAAUUAUGGUAAUAAUAAUACUUGUAUAAUUAAAAAAAAUAAUAAUAACAAUAAUAAUAAUAACAAUAAUAAUAAUAAUAAUAAUAAUAAUAACAAUAAUAAUAAUAAUAACAAUAAUAAUAAUAAUAAUACAUUUGGUCUUAAUGAUAACAACGGUGGUUGUAUUGAUGAAAAAAAAGGUAGUUCUGAAAAAAUAUCUGUCGAUUUUUGUGACUUGUCAAACGUAUCUGUAAAAAUCCUCGAUAACAGUAAUAAUAAUAUUAUUAACAAAGAAUGUAAAAAUGGUGAUAAUAAAAGUUUAAACACAAAAGGUAUUGAUAGAGAUCAAAAUAUUAGUACUAUUAGUUGCAGUGACAGUAAUGAAAAUGAUGGAAAUACUAAUAAUGAAAGUAGUAAUAGUAACAAUAAUAACAAUAGUGGUAAUGGUAAUAAUAAUAGUGGUAAUAAUAGUAAUAGUAGUAAUAGUAGUAAUAACAACAGUGGUAAUGGUAAUACAGAUGGAAAUAAUAGCAGUAAUGAUGGUAGUAACAACAACAACAACAAUAACAACAACAACAAUAACAACAACAACAACAACAAUAAUAACAAUAAUAACAAUAAUAACGACAAUGAUGAUGAAGAAAACGAAAAAAAUAAAAAUAAAGAUAAAGAUAAAAAUAUGAAAAAUAAUAACAAAGAUAAUGAGAAAAAUGUGAACAACAAUGAUAACAAUUAUAAUGAUAAAAAUGAAACAAAAAAAAAAGAGAAUGAAAUGAAAGUAGAGGGUAGUAAUAAUAAAGGUAAUAACAAUAGUAAUAACAACAAUUCUGAAGGUAAGAUUUCAAGAAAUGUUAACCAAUCUAAGUUUAGUAAAGGAACAAAAUUGAGUAAUAGUAAUAAUAAUGAUAAUACUAAUACUACUACUACUAAUAAUAAUAAUAACACAUUAACAUUAAGUUCUUUGAAUGCUGAUGCACCUGAAUUUGUUCCUUCAACAAAUAGUAUAACAGGUAAUUUACCAUAUGCACCUAUGUUAUGGAAUAAUUAUUAUCCUGAUUUGCCUAAUAAUUCUUAUGUAAAUAUAGCUACUAAUAAAUUAAUCAAUAAUCAUAUAAAUCCACCCCUUUAUAAUAAUAUUAUAUUAAGUCCUAACCCAUUAAUGAAUCCUAUGAAUGGUAUCCCAAACAAUGUUGGAAUUGUAGGAGGUGGAGGAGGUAAUAAACUAAUGAAUAUUGUUGGUACAAACAAUGUAUUAAAUCCUAACAAUUUGAAUUUGAAUAUGCCUACUGCUGGUUUAGGUCCAGGAUUAGCAGCAGCAGGUUUAGUACCAGGUUUAGUACCAGGUUUAGCACCUGGUUUGGGACCUGGUUUAGCUCCAGGUAUAGCUCCAGGCAUAACUUUAGGUAUAAAUCCUACACUUAAUAAUAACAAUAAUAGUACAAAUACUACUACUGCUACUGGUAAUAAUAAUAGUACUACUACUACUACUACUACUACCGCUAAUAAUAAUAAUACUAGUGGUACAGUAAUAAAUACACAAAAUAAUACAAAUAAUGUUGAUAAUUAUAUGGAGAAAAAUAAUACAACAAAUAAUGUUAAUACUAGUAGUAAUAAUAAUAACAAUAAUGUAAAUACCAACAAUAAUGUAAAUAAUUCUAAUAGUAAUAAUAAUGUUAGUGGUACAAAUCAAAUAAAUAAUAGUAGCAAUACAAAUAAACAAUUGAAUAGUGGAUUUAUAGAUUCUAGUUUAGGUAGUUCUCAAAAUAUACAUUUAACAACUAUUGGAGGAGGAAUAGGUAAGAAUACAGGAGUUGCAGAUGGUAAUUUUAUAAAUCAAAAUAUAAUACCUGGUAAUAUGAAAAAUAUAAGAGGAGGAGGAGGAGGUACAAACAAUUUUAUGAAUUCGGAGAAAAUCCACCAACAUUCCCUCAUCAUCCUCAACAUCAGCAUCCACAUCCACAUCAUGCGAUGGUCGAUGCACAUCCAAAUUUUCAAGCAAACAAUCCAGCUGCUAUGAUGCAUCAUCCAGGUUUUUACAUUAAUCCAUCUUAUAUUAUGAAUAAUUAUCAUGGUCCUGGUUUAACUGCACCUCCUACAAUAUUUUCUCCUAUGCAUUAUGGUAAUACAUCUAUGGGUGAUGGUCCAGGUGGAAUCCAUCAUCAUGAUUUACCCUUCCCACAAGGUCCAGCAAUAUAUGGUGCGUUUGACAAUGUACCUAAUAAUGUUAUAACAAAUAAUAGUUUAACUUCGUCAAAACAUACCGGUUUAGGUAUUAAUCCGUAUAAUUAUUUAUCUUGUGGAGGAAUACAGACUCCACCACCUCAAUUACAUCAUCCACAUCCUAAUGGGCAUUUAAAUUUGAAUCACAAUAUGGAUAGUCAUUGUAUACCAACACCAGGUAAUGUCAUUCCUGGUGGUAGUGGUGGUGGUGGUGUUGGUGGUGUUGGUGGUGU